This 462-nucleotide ribosomal RNA is filed under the name Lachnoanaerobaculum saburreum. RNAcentral describes it as "bacterial SSU rRNA". It matches the Rfam family "Bacterial small subunit ribosomal RNA", at positions 29 to 491 of the family's 1533-position model. The record is from RNAcentral. Lineage: Bacteria; Bacillati; Bacillota; Clostridia; Lachnospirales; Lachnospiraceae.
AUGAACGCUGGCGGCGUGCUUAACACAUGCAAGUCGAACGAAGUUGUUAAAAGGAAGUCUUCGGAUGGAAUUUUAACAGACUUAGUGGCGGACGGGUGAGUAACGCGUGGAUAACCUGCCUUAUACAGGGGGAUAACGGAGAGAAAUUUCCGCUAAGACCGCAUAAGACCACAGCACCGCAUGGUGCAGGGGUAAAAUAUUAAUAGGUAUAAGAUGGAUCCGCGUCCGAUUAGCUUGUUGGUGAGGUAGAGGCUCACCAAGGCGACGAUCGGUAGCCGGCCUGAGAGGGUGAACGGCCACAUUGGGACUGAGACACGGCCCAAACUCCUACGGGAGGCAGCAGUGGGGAAUAUUGGACAAUGGGGGAAACCCUGAUCCAGCGACGCCGCGUGAGUGAAGAAGUAUUUCGGUAUGUAAAGCUCUAUCAGCAGGGAAGAAAAUGACGGUACCUGACUAAGAAGC